ACGAACGCUGGCGGCAGGCCUAACACAUGCAAGUCGAACGCUCUAGCAAUAGAGAGUGGCAGACGGGUGAGUAACGCGUGGGAACCUUCCCAAUGGUACGGAAUAGCUCAGGGAAACUUGAGGUAAUACCGUAUAAGCCCCUAGGGGGAAAGAUUUAUCGCCAUUGGAUGGGCCCGCGUCGGAUUAGCUAGUUGGUAGGGUAAUGGCCUACCCAAGGCAACGAUC
This 225-nucleotide ribosomal RNA is filed under the name uncultured bacterium. RNAcentral describes it as "partial 16S ribosomal RNA". It matches the Rfam family "Bacterial small subunit ribosomal RNA", at positions 29 to 281 of the family's 1533-position model. The record is from RNAcentral.